RNAcentral lists this ribosomal RNA (985 nucleotides) under metagenome. Its description in RNAcentral is "bacterial LSU rRNA". It matches the Rfam family "Bacterial large subunit ribosomal RNA", at positions 1946 to 2925 of the family's 2925-position model. The record is from RNAcentral.
CGGUCCUAAGGUAGCGAAAUUCCUUGUCGGGUAAGUUCCGACCUGCACGAAUGGCGUAAUGAUGGCCAGGCUGUCUCCACCCGAGACUCAGUGAAAUUGAACUCGCUGUGAAGAUGCAGUGUACCCGCGGCAAGACGGAAAGACCCCGUGAACCUUUACUAUAGCUUGACACUGAACAUUGAGCCUUGAUGUGUAGGAUAGGUGGGAGGCUUGGAAGUGUGGACGCCAGUCUGCAUGGAGCCGACCUUGAAAUACCACCCUUUAAUGUUUGAUGUUCUAACGUUGACCCGUAAUCCGGGUUGCGGACAGUGUCUGGUGGGUAGUUUGACUGGGGCGGUCUCCUCCUAAAGAGUAACGGAGGAGCACGAAGGUUGGCUAAUCCUGGUCGGACAUCAGGAGGUUAGUGCAAUGGCAUAAGCCAGCUUGACUGCGAGCGUGACGGCGCGAGCAGGUGCGAAAGCAGGUCAUAGUGAUCCGGUGGUUCUGAAUGGAAGGGCCAUCGCUCAACGGAUAAAAGGUACUCUGGGGAUAACAGGCUGAUACCGCCCAAGAGUUCAUAUCGACGGCGGUGUUUGGCACCUCGAUGUCGGCUCAUCACAUCCUGGGGCUGAAGUAGGUCCCAAGGGUAUGGCUGUUCGCCAUUUAAAGUGGUACGCGAGCUGGGUUUAGAACGUCGUGAGACAGUUCGGUCCCUAUCUGCCGUGGGCGCUGGAGAACUGAGGGGGGCUGCUCCUAGUACGAGAGGACCGGAGUGGACGCAUCACUGGUGUUCGGGUUGUCAUGCCAAUGGCACUGCCCGGUAGCUAAAUGCGGAAGAGAUAAGUGCUGAAAGCAUCUAAGCACGAAACUUGCCCCGAGAUGAGUUCUCCCUGACUCCUUGAGAGUCCUGAAGGAACGUUGAAGACGACGACGUUGAUAGGCCGGGUGUGUAAGCGCAGCGAUGCGUUGAGCUAACCGGUACUAAUGAACCGUGAGGCUUAACCUU